This 253-nucleotide ribosomal RNA is filed under the name uncultured bacterium. RNAcentral's name for it is "partial 16S ribosomal RNA". It matches the Rfam family "Bacterial small subunit ribosomal RNA", at positions 524 to 776 of the family's 1533-position model. The record is from RNAcentral.
UACGAAGGGGGCUAGCGUUGCUCGGAAUCACUGGGCGUAAAGCGCACGUAGGCGGGUUCUUAAGUCAGGGGUGAAAUCCUGGAGCUCAACUCCAGAACUGCCUUUGAUACUGGGAAUCUCGAGUCCGGGAGAGGUGAGUGGAACUGCGAGUGUAGAGGUGAAAUUCGUAGAUAUUCGCAAGAACACCGGUGGCGAAGGCGGCUCACUGGCCCGAUACUGACGCUGAGGUGCGAAAGCGUGGGGAGCGAACAGG